Molecule: ribosomal RNA, 569 nt
Filed under: uncultured bacterium
Lineage: Bacteria
Description: bacterial SSU rRNA
Rfam family: Bacterial small subunit ribosomal RNA
Source: RNAcentral
CCUACGGGAGGCAGCAGUGGGGAAUAUUGGGCAAUGGAGGAAACUCUGACCCAGCGACGCCGCGUGCGGGAUGAAGGCCUUCGGGUUGUAAACCGCUUUCAGUAGGGAAGAAGCGAAAGUGACGGUACCUACAGAAGAAGCACCGGCUAACUAUGUGCCAGCAGCCGCGGUAAUACAUAGGGUGCAAGCGUUGUCCGGAAUUAUUGGGCGUAAAGAGCUCGUAGGUGGUUCGUCACGUCGGAUGUGAAAAUCUGGGGCUCAACCCCAGACCUGCAUUCGAUACGGGCGAUCUAGAGUGUGGUAGGGGAGACUGGAAUUCCUGGUGUAGCGGUGGAAUGCGCAGAUAUCAGGAGGAACACCAAUGGCGAAGGCAGGUCUCUGGGCCAUUACUGACACUGAGGAGCGAAAGCGUGGGGAGCGAACAGGAUUAGAUACCCUGGUAGUCCACGCCGUAAACGGUGGGCACUAGUUGUGGGAACCUUCCACGGUUUCUGCGACGCAGCUAACGCAUUAAGUGCCCCGCCUGGGGAGUACGAUCGCAAGAUUAAAACCUCAAAUGAAGUUGACGG